CCUACGGGAGGCAGCAGUGGGGAAUCUUGCGCAAUGGGCGAAAGCCUGACGCAGCGACGCCGCGUGGGGGAAGAAGGCCUUCGGGUUGUAAACCCCUUUCGUGGGGGAAAAAGUCCGCCUCAGGCGGAUGAUGGUACCUCAGGAAGAAGCCACGGCUAACUCUGUGCCAGCAGCCGCGGUAAGACAGAGGUGGCAAGCGUUGUUCGGAAUCACUGGGCUUAAAGCGCGUGUAGGUGUCCUGACAAGUCAAGUGUGGAAUCCCCGGGCUCAACCAGGAAAUGGCACUUGAAACUAUCAGGAUUGAGUUGUGCGUGGGAGGGUGGAAUUCCUGGUGUAGCGGUAAAAUGCGUAGAUAUCAGGAGGAGGGCCGGUGGCGAGGGCGGCCCUCUAUGCAAUGACUGAC
RNAcentral lists this ribosomal RNA (403 nucleotides) under uncultured Nitrospirales bacterium. RNAcentral's name for it is "partial 16S ribosomal RNA". It matches the Rfam family "Bacterial small subunit ribosomal RNA", at positions 338 to 744 of the family's 1533-position model. The record is from RNAcentral. Lineage: Bacteria; Pseudomonadati; Nitrospirota; Nitrospiria; Nitrospirales.